UACGGAGGGGGCGAGCGUUAUUCGGAAUUAUUGGGCGUAAAGGGCGCGUAGGCGGCUUGACAAGUCAAAGGUGAAAUCCCUCGGCUCAACUGAGGAACUGCCUUUGAAACUGUCUGGCUUGAGGCCGGGAGGGGGUAGCGGAAUUCCCAGUGUAGCGGUGAAAUGCGUAGAUAUCAGGAGGAAUACCGAUGGCGAAGGCAGGUCUCUGGGCUGACACUGACGCUCAUGCACGAAAGCGUGGGGAGCAAACAGG
This 253-nucleotide ribosomal RNA is filed under the name uncultured bacterium. Its description in RNAcentral is "partial 16S ribosomal RNA". It matches the Rfam family "Bacterial small subunit ribosomal RNA", at positions 524 to 776 of the family's 1533-position model. The record is from RNAcentral.